UACGUAGGGUGCAAGCGUUGUCCGGAAUUAUUGGGCGUAAAGAGCUCGUAGGCGGUCUGUCGCGUCGGCUGUGAAAACCCGAGGCUCAACCUCGGGCCUGCAGUCGAUACGGGCAAACUGGAGUGUUGCAGGGGAGACUGGAAUUCCUGGUGUAGCGGUGAAAUGCGCAGAUAUCAGGAGGAACACCGGUGGCGAAGGCAGGUCUCUGGGCCACUACUGACGCUGAGAAGCGAAAGCAUGGGGAGCGAACAGG
RNAcentral lists this ribosomal RNA (253 nucleotides) under uncultured bacterium. RNAcentral's name for it is "partial 16S ribosomal RNA". It matches the Rfam family "Bacterial small subunit ribosomal RNA", at positions 524 to 776 of the family's 1533-position model. The record is from RNAcentral.